This 600-nucleotide ribosomal RNA is filed under the name uncultured bacterium. RNAcentral describes it as "bacterial SSU rRNA". It matches the Rfam family "Bacterial small subunit ribosomal RNA", at positions 84 to 680 of the family's 1533-position model. The record is from RNAcentral.
UACCUGAUUCAGCGGCGGACGGGUGAGUAAUGCCUAGGAAUCUGCCCGAUAGUGGGGGACAACGUUUCGAAAGGAACGCUAAUACCGCAUACGUCCUACGGGAGAAAGUGGGGGAUCUUCGGACCUCACGCUAUCGGAUGAGCCUAGGUCGGAUUAGCUAGUUGGUGAGGUAAUGGCUCACCAAGGCGACGAUCCGUAACUGGUCUGAGAGGAUGAUCAGUCACACUGAAACUGAGACACGGUCCAGACUCCUACGGGAGGCAGCAGUGGGGAAUAUUGGACAAUGGGCGAAAGCCUGAUCCAGCCAUGCCGCGUGUGUGAAGAAGGUCUUCGGAUUGUAAAGCACUUUAAGUUGGGAGGAAGGGCAGUAAGCUAAUACCUUGCUGUUUUGACGUUACCAACAGAAUAAGCACCGGCUAACUCUGUGCCAGCAGCCGCGGUAAUACAGAGGGUGCAAGCGUUAAUCGGAAUUACUGGGCGUAAAGCGCGCGUAGGUGGUUCAGCAAGUUGGAUGUGAAAUCCCCGGGCUCAACCUGGGAACUGCAUCCAAAACUACUGAGCUAGAGUACGGUAGAGGGUGGUGGAAUUUCCUGUGUAGCG